UAUUGAUAGAGUUUCUGUACUAUAUUGGUACGCGAAUCUUCCAUUUCAGCUUCUGGCAGUUAAUGUUUGGUCAAUUUAUUU
Trypanosoma cruzi is the source of this 81-nucleotide RNA transcript. It is a transcript of the gene named spliced leader RNA, 5' & 3' partial, with no coding region annotated. Lineage: Eukaryota; Euglenozoa; Kinetoplastea; Trypanosomatida; Trypanosomatidae. The record is from RefSeq and is a predicted model, not a curated record. The transcript has a single exon.